RNAcentral lists this ribosomal RNA (406 nucleotides) under uncultured bacterium. RNAcentral describes it as "partial 16S ribosomal RNA". It matches the Rfam family "Bacterial small subunit ribosomal RNA", at positions 30 to 526 of the family's 1533-position model. The record is from RNAcentral.
AUUGAACGCUGGCGGCAGGCCUAACACAUGCAAGUCGAACGAGUGGCGGACGGGUGAGUAAUGUCUGGGAACCAGCCUGAUGGAGGGGGAUAACUACUGGAAACGGUAGCUAAUACCGCAUACCAUCCCAUGUGCCAAGGUGGGAUUAGCUAGUAGGUGGGGUGACGGCUCACGUAGGCGCCGAUCCCUAGUUGGUCUGAGAGGAUGACCAGCCACACGGGAACUGAGACACGGUCAAGACUCCUACGGUAGGCAGCAGUAGGGAAUAUUGCGCAAUGGGCGAAAGCCUGAUGUAGCAAUGCCGCGUGUAUGAAGAAGGUCUUCGGGUUGUAAAAUACUUUUAGCAGGGAGGCGUUACCCGCAGAAGAAGCACCGGCUAACUCCGUGCCAGCCGCCGCGGUAAUUC